GCGGGAGUAGCUCAGUGGUAGAGCGCCUGCUUGCCAAGUAGGAGGUCGCGAGUUCGAUCCUCGUCUCCCGCUCCA
RNAcentral lists this transfer RNA (75 nucleotides) under Candidatus Blackburnbacteria bacterium RIFCSPHIGHO2_02_FULL_44_20. RNAcentral's name for it is "tRNA-Gly". It matches the Rfam family "tRNA". Rfam says of the family: Transfer RNA (tRNA) molecules are approximately 80 nucleotides in length. Their secondary structure includes four short double-helical elements and three loops (D, anti-codon, and T loops). Further hydrogen bonds mediate the characteristic L-shaped molecular structure. tRNAs have two regions of fundamental functional importance: the anti-codon, which is responsible for specific mRNA codon recognition, and the 3' end, to which the tRNAs corresponding amino acid is attached (by aminoacyl-tRNA synthetases). tRNAs cope with the degeneracy of the genetic code in two manners: having more than one tRNA (with a specific anti-codon) for a particular amino acid; and 'wobble' base-pairing, i.e. permitting non-standard base-pairing at the 3rd anti-codon position. RNAcentral also lists the same sequence under 1 other name. Lineage: Bacteria; Candidatus Blackburniibacteriota. The record is from RNAcentral.